Molecule: transfer RNA, 44 nt
Filed under: Ramigekko swartbergensis
Lineage: Eukaryota; Metazoa; Chordata; Lepidosauria; Squamata; Gekkonidae
Description: partial tRNA-Ala
Source: RNAcentral
GAGUGGCAAUCAGAGGAUGUAUUAUAGAGUUUUACAGGUCUUAC